RNA transcript from Leopardus geoffroyi (Geoffroy's cat), 2131 nucleotides. It is a transcript of the gene named anther-specific proline-rich protein APG-like, with no coding region annotated. The record is from RefSeq and is a predicted model, not a curated record. The transcript has 3 exons. Lineage: Eukaryota; Metazoa; Chordata; Mammalia; Carnivora; Felidae.
CAAAAGACAUUUGGGUCGGACCCGUUACAACGUAGCCAGAGAAGCCCCAACGCCAUGCUAUUGUUGCUGCCGCGACGGAUACGGCGACUGGGGGCCGGGACACCGGCCCGCCGAGGAGGCGGAGAGCUUUGUCCGGCGACCCCGGCGAGAGCGCGCGCGCGGCCUCCACGCGGCCCGGGCCCCCACCCCACGGUCCGCGGAUGCUGUAGCCGCCGCGGCCUCGCUACACUGUGGCCUUCUCCGCGCGCGCGGUGCCGGCCAGGCUUCUUGACCCUCGGGCGCCGCCGUACCCCAGCCCCGCUGUGGGCGCCGGCGGCCCCCUCCCCCCUCGGCGCCCCGGCUCCAUUCAAACCGUCCUCCCAAGCCCCGCGCCACGCUCCCCCCGCGGCCCGCGUUCCUUACCGAGAGCCGCCGGCGCCGUCGCCUUCCCGGCGCCGCCCCCGCCCCUCCGCGCGGGGCCGGGGGCAGAGUGGGCGUCUCGCCUCUCCUCACGAAACAAAGAAGCCGCCGCCGCCACCGCCGCCGAGAGAGGGUAAGUCUCGCGCGCGCGCCCGCUCUCCUCGGCCGCCCCCCCACGCCGCCCGCGCCCCCGCUGCGCGCUCACUCGCCAGCUCCCCUCCCCCCUACGGUCGGCUUCUCUCGCUUCCGCCGCCCGCCCGGCCUCGUGCGCGCGCCCGUCCGCCCUUCCGCUCCCAGCGCGCGUGCGCGCCCGCUCGGGGCCUAGCGGAGGUAGGCGGGACCAGAGAAAGCUGGCGCUCCAGAUGUUCCCCCCCGACUCAAUCCGGGAAGGUCUUGCUCAUGCGCACCGGCGUCUUCGUCCUCACGCUGCGUCCCCACGCUGCCGAGCAUGCGCAGAGUGGGCGCCACUGCGGCGGUGGCUGCGUUGGUUCCCGCGGCUGCGGCGGGGGGGUUGGGGGAUGGGAUGGGACGGAAUGGCGGCGGGGUCUGCAGGGAAGGGUUGGCCGAGGGGCUUUGAGACCUGCAGAUGAAGACCCGAGGCCGUGGUGUUUCUUAAACGUCCUUGACAUGCUAAACACUGAGCUGGUCCCUGGCCUCCAGUGGUACACUGGGCAGACAGUGUCCUGGUCGUGAUGUGGACAAUCUGUGAGUUCGGGUGACCGUCUCCCAUAUUGAUCAGCUAAUACAUGAUAGGAAAAUGUUAAGUGCAACGGAAGAAAGGCCCACAGCGCAGAGAUCAUAACAGGGGACCCUCCUGGAGUUGAGCAGUCAAGUCAGCUAGACCUCUCGGAGAAAGACGCGCUUAUGCCAAGUCGCAAAAGAUGAGCAAGGGCCGGGAGGAGGAGGGCACUAGGUCGAGGGAACAAGAUGUACCAGGCCCCCGAGGAGGAAGAGAGCAUUGGAACCGAAGGAGGCCCAUUUGGCUGAGGAGGGCAGAUCAGCAACAGCUACGCUGGGCGGGGCCUCGUAGCCUGCGGUGAGGCUCUUUAGCUUUUCCCUGACCACGUUGGGGAAGUAUUCGUUGGGGAAGUAUUCGAAAGGCUUUAAUCAAGAGAUUCCCAUAGUUACUCAUGCUGCAGGGUGGAGUCUGGGCCAAAGGGGAAGAAGGACAGGAGGUGAUGAGUCCCUUUAGGCCAUUGCCACGGCCCGGGGUAGAAAGGAUGGUGGCCCAAGGUAGGGUGAGGGUGGUAGACGUAGAGAGAGGUGGAGGAAAUUGGAGGUAGGAUGGAUAGAAGCUGAAGCAAUAGACCUGAGAGGUGAAAGCGUGAGCAGCUUUGUCUGCAGGGGAGACCAUGAGGACAUGAGAAUGGCGGCAAGGAAGGAGCUAGAGUCCUGCUUUAAGGGCAAGAUGUCUACCGGGAACAGUUUCGUAGACCAGUGCUUCGUGGCUGUACGUUGGGAUCCCAGUGUAAAUAAAACUGGUGCCUUUAACGCUCAGGGCCUUUCCUAUUCCACCGGAAUGACUCUUCAAGGUCACAGGCACCUGCCUGUUGCUAAAUGCAGGAGUCAAUUCUCAUCUUCACUUUCCCUGACCUUCUGGCAACAGUUGACACGUUACCUCCUUAGAACAUUCUAUUCAUGGGGCGCCUGGGUGGGUGGCUCAGUCGGUUGAACGUCUGACUUCAACUCAGACCAUGAUCUAGUGGUUCACGAGUUCGAGCCCCGCGUCAGG